UGAAUUUAAGCAGAGAGAGACGUUGGUGGUCUCCUCUCCCUUUACCUUUUUUUAUUAUUUUUCUUUUUAUAUUCGUUGGAUGAGAGAGAGACUGAUGGAGUGAGAGGACCACUUGUCAGCCAUGUACCAGUCACAAGAAGAUAAGAUUGCCACGUGGCACCUGGCAAUUGGAUUGAAAGAGAUAUUUUUUAAUAUUUUCUGAUUUUCUAUUUAACUAUUUAUUUAAA
This 227-nucleotide long non-coding RNA is filed under the name Lathyrus oleraceus (garden pea). RNAcentral describes it as "Pisum sativum (pea) long non-coding RNA (PSAT_LNC036220)". Lineage: Eukaryota; Viridiplantae; Streptophyta; Magnoliopsida; Fabales; Fabaceae. The record is from RNAcentral.